RNAcentral lists this ribosomal RNA (253 nucleotides) under uncultured bacterium. RNAcentral describes it as "partial 16S ribosomal RNA". It matches the Rfam family "Bacterial small subunit ribosomal RNA", at positions 524 to 776 of the family's 1533-position model. The record is from RNAcentral.
UACGGAGGGGGUUAGCGUUGUUCGGAAUGACUGGGCGUAAAGCGCGCGUAGGCGGAUCGGAAAGUUGGGGGUGAAAUCCCGGGGCUCAACCCGGGAAUUGCGCUUGAUACUGUCGUGCUUGAGGCCGGGAGAGGAUGGCGGAAUUCCCAGUGUAGAGGUGAAAUUCGUAGAUAUUGGGAAGAACACCGGUGGCGAAGGCGGGUCUCUGGGCAGUAACUGACGCUGAGGAGCGAAAGCGUGGGGAGCGAACAGG